UGGAAACGGUAGCUAAUACCGCAUAACGUCGCAAGACCAAAGAGGGGGACCUUCGGGCCUCUUGCCAUCGGAUGUGCCCAGAUGGGAUUAGCUAGUAGGUGGGGUAACGGCUCACCUAGGCGACGAUCCCUAGCUGGUCUGAGAGGAUGACCAGCCACACUGGAACUGAGACACGGUCCAGACUCCUACGGGAGGCAGCAGUGGGGAAUAUUGCACAAUGGGCGCAAGCCUGAUGCAGCCAUGCCGCGUGUAUGAAGAAGGCCUUCGGGUUGUAAAGUACUUUCAGCGGGGAGGAAGGGAGUAAAGUUAAUACCUUUGCUCAUUGACGUUACCCGCAGAAGAAGCACCGGCUAACUCCGUGCCAGCAGCCGCGGUAAUACGGAGGGUGCAAGCGUUAAUCGGAAUUACUGGGCGUAAAGCGCACGCAGGCGGUUUGUUAAGUCAGAUGUGAAAUCCCCGGGCUCAACCUGGGAACUGCAUCUGAUACUGGCAAGCUUGAGUCUCGUAGAGGGGGGUAGAAUUCCAGGUGUAGCGGUGAAAUGCGUAGAGAUCUGGAGGAAUACCGGUGGCGAAGGCGGCCCCCUGGACGAAGACUGACGC
RNAcentral lists this ribosomal RNA (600 nucleotides) under Klebsiella ornithinolytica. RNAcentral's name for it is "bacterial SSU rRNA". It matches the Rfam family "Bacterial small subunit ribosomal RNA", at positions 151 to 746 of the family's 1533-position model. Lineage: Bacteria; Pseudomonadati; Pseudomonadota; Gammaproteobacteria; Enterobacterales; Enterobacteriaceae. The record is from RNAcentral.